RNAcentral lists this ribosomal RNA (502 nucleotides) under Dendrobaena sp. TS-2022. RNAcentral describes it as "partial large subunit ribosomal RNA". It matches the Rfam family "Bacterial large subunit ribosomal RNA", at positions 1809 to 2606 of the family's 2925-position model. Lineage: Eukaryota; Metazoa; Annelida; Clitellata; Crassiclitellata; Lumbricidae. The record is from RNAcentral.
AAAAACAUUGCCCCUAGAUUAUUUAUUAUGGGUACCUCCUGCCCAGUGACAUUAAGUUCAACGGCCGCGGUACCUUAACCGUGCAAAGGUAGCAUAAUCACUUGCCCAUUAAUUGUGGGCUAGAAUCAAAGGAUAAACGAAAUAUUGACUGUCUCUAUAAGCCCCAUAAAAAUUAUCCUCUAAUUGAAGAAAAUUAGAUACAGUUGAAGGACAAGAAGACCCUAUAGAGCUUUAUUUUAAUUAAGAUAGAUAACUUCUUUAAAAUUCGGUUGGGGCGACCUGGGAAAUUAUUAAUCAUCCCCCAUACACAGAUUCAUAAAUCUAAAUUUAGACCCUAUUUAUAGACCCUAAAAACAAGCUACCUUAGGGAUAACAGGCUAAUCUCACUAAAGAGUCCUUAUCUAUAGUGAGGUUUGGCACCUCGAUGUUGGCUUAGGGAAUCUAUUUGACGUAAAAGUCAUGUAAAGAUGGUUUGUUCAACCAAUAAUACCCUACAUGAUCU